UCCAUCCAGCCCUAUCCAUCCAUCCAUCUCUCUCUCCCUAUCCACCCAUCCCUCUCUAUCCAUCCAUCCCUAUCCAUCAAUAGGGAGGGAUGGAUGGAUUGAUGGAUAAUGAUGGAUGGAUAGAGAUGGAAGGAUGGAUGGAUGGAGAGAGAGAUGGAUGGAUGGAUUGAGAGAGAGG
This is a non-coding RNA of Pelobates cultripes (western spadefoot toad), 178 nucleotides long. The record is from the annotation of a GenBank genome assembly. Lineage: Eukaryota; Metazoa; Chordata; Amphibia; Anura; Pelobatidae.